Molecule: unclassified non-coding RNA, 252 nt
Filed under: Hevea brasiliensis (rubber tree)
Lineage: Eukaryota; Viridiplantae; Streptophyta; Magnoliopsida; Malpighiales; Euphorbiaceae
Source: RNAcentral
ACUCAAUUAUAUGAAUAAUAUGACUGCACAUCAGCUAUACAAAAUCCCAUUUCAUGAUUUAAAUGAAGAAUUUAAAGGUAGUAAUUGAAUUGGUAUAGUUAUUGAAAUAAGUCCCAAUUUCAGGGCUUGUCUUUCAGUUCAACAGAAGAAGAAACAGGGGAGCAAAGUUUUGAAUUUGAAUCCCUAAUUUCCUGAACUAUGGGCAGGUCAAGUACCAGAAAUAGUAUUGUUUCCAUAACAUAGCAAUCCAGA